CCCGGCCCUCCCCGCGCAGUGCACCAGGCUAGUCGAAACGCCGGGAAAGCUUCGAGCCUGACUCCCGGGUCACCUGGCCCCUGCGCCCGGCCCUGCCUUCAGGGGAGCCCCAGGGCCGCCCGUGGUCGCUGGGGACCGCGCACCGGGCUCCGGGGCAGUCACGUGGUCGGCGGAGGCGGCCUGGGCUUCCUCACCUGCAUCCCGGGAACUUGCACAGCCACCGCAGAAGUGAUGAGCCUCCCUGGGUGACCGAAGGCACUGCCGGCAACAGGCACUUGUCUCUAGAUCUUUGGAAACAUAAAAGAUUUCAUUACCUUCCUGGAAACCUUGGCUCUAAAUAGCAUGGGAAUCCAACAUUUUCAUCUCAGUGCUACCAAGUGCCGGGAUAAUAGACCAAGCAAAUCUGCAGCAGUCACCUGGGUGCUUCUAAAUAUCUGGAUGGUUGACAAAAAGUUUAAUCUGAUGUCCACAUCAUUACCUCAAGGUAACAUAGUCUGACUCCUCAGGUAGAACUCUGGUUCCCUUUUCUUAUGCCCACACUUAUCCUUCGGUGUUUUACCUAUCUGUUUGCUUCUGUAUCUCCCCCACGGGGCCUAAUUUUAGGAAGAAAGACACUGUGUCCUUGCUCCCAGUUGUUUCCACAGUGCCUAGCGCAGUGUUUGGAGCAUUACUGCACACUCAGUAAAUAUUAGUCCGAUGAAAACACUAGGACAACACUAAGUGGAUACGGUAACGCUAAGGUAAGGCAGUGGAGAGAGAGCUCUGCCAAGGGUCAGCCGAUUCCUUGGAGAUUUGCCUACGUAGGUGGCACCAUAGCUAGAGCUGCCCCCCUGUGUAAGGACUCUUUCUGUAUUUCAGUUGACGAUGACCAGGAACGAUGGGGCUGGGGAAGCCAGCUGGAUUGAUAUGCUGAUACCAUUUUCAGACCCGAACGAGGACCUUGGGGCCCAUGUGGUGCCACUCCCACAUUUUAAACAUGGAGAAACUGGGGCACCGAAGGCAACAGCUGCUGUCCCUGAGGCACUAGCUAGCAGAGGACCCUUUCACACCCGUGCCUCCAGACAUGGUCAGUGCUCUUCCCUCUGCAAUCAGCCGCCUCUCCUAAAGCCUGAAGGUCAACAGCCAGCGUUUCAAGGGCAGCUCCACAAAGGACAUGACCACGUGGGCUCUGGGAGAUAUCUUCCCCUUUCCCCACCUCAGUUUCCCCACUGGGAAAAUCAGCCUUAUAACGUGUGACUCCCGGGGCCAUGGUGAGCUAGCCUUAGAGGAAACAGUGCUUGGAAUGUUCCUAGCGGAGUGCCUGUUACAUAGCUGAUUCCCAGCUCCUGACUCCCUUCUCCUCUACCCGGGCACAUGAGGCCUUUCAGGACAUGCAGAGAUGAAGAGUGUCUUUCGUGGCUGGGAAGGGUCAGCUGUGCAGAGGGUCUCGGCUGCUCAGACCCGUCUCAUCCUUCAGGAGACAAAUUUGGAGCUCAAUCCUGCAUCAGUGUGCUCUUACUCUGAAGAGACUCUCCUCCCUGCUCACUCCUGACAAACCCCCAAGGAAACAGAGCUUCUAAACACAGACUUUCCAAUUUUCCUAGUAAAAUGAAUGAAAGAACCUUUUGGGGAAUAAAGUGAUUUCUUUUUAGCUCCACUUGUUUACUUUUCCAUAAGCUCCCAAGAUGGCUUACAUGUUAGCUGUUAAUCACACCAUCUGUUCAAACAGUACUUCAGUAAAUGAUUCAAUUCAUACUUUUCUGCUAAAAGAAUCUUUUUAAAGACA
This is a long non-coding RNA of Felis catus (domestic cat), 1765 nucleotides long. RefSeq lists it as uncharacterized. The record is from RefSeq and is a predicted model, not a curated record. The transcript is spliced from 3 exons. NCBI's taxonomy places the organism in Eukaryota, Metazoa, Chordata, Mammalia, Carnivora, Felidae.